This 1342-nucleotide ribosomal RNA is filed under the name uncultured bacterium. RNAcentral describes it as "bacterial SSU rRNA". It matches the Rfam family "Bacterial small subunit ribosomal RNA", at positions 27 to 1381 of the family's 1533-position model. The record is from RNAcentral.
GGAUGAACGUUGGCGGUGUGCCUAAUACAUGCAAGUCGAACGGAGUUAAUAGCAAUAUUGACUUAGUGGCGAACGGGUGAGUAACGCGUUGGUGAUCUGCCUCGAAGUGUGGAAUAACGUUCCGAAAGGAACGCUAAUACCGCAUGUGCUCUCGAUUUUUAGAAAGUUGAGAGUAAAGGAUUUAUUCGCUUCGAGAGGAGCCUGCGUCCCAUCAGCUGGUUGGUAGGGUAACGGCCUACCAAGGCUAUGACGGGUAGGGGACCUGAGAGGGUGGCCCCCCACAAUGGAACUGAAACACGGUCCAUACACCUACGGGUGGCAGCAGUAGGGAAUAUUAGAAAUGGACGAAAGUCUGAUCUAGCAACACCGCGUGUGCGAAGAAGGCCUUCGGGUCGUAAAGCACUUUUUGGAAGGAAUAGGAAGGAAUGUACUUCCAGAAUAAGUCUCGGCUAACUACGUGCCAGCAGCCGCGGUAACACGUAGGAGGCAAACGUUAUCCGGAUUUACUGGGCGUAAAGCGCGUGUAGGUGGUUCUGUAAGUAGGGCGUGAAAGCUCCCGGCUCAACUGGGAGAGGCCGUUCUAAACUACAGAACUAGAGGAUGGUAGAGGGAGGUGGAAUUCCAGGUGUAGCGGUGGAAUGCGCAGAUAUCUGGAGGAACACCAGUGGCGAAGGCGGCUUCCUGGCACAAUACUGACGCUCAUGUGCGAAAGCUAGGGCAGCGAACGGGAUUAGAUACCCCGGUAGUCCUAGCCGUAAACGAUGGAUACUAGGUGUGGGUGUCGCAGGGCAUCCGUGCCGCAGUUAACGCGUUAAGUAUCCCGCCUGGGGACUACGGUCGCAAGACUGAAACUCAAAGGAAUUGACGGGGGCCCGCACAAGCGGUGGAGCACGUGGUUUAAUUCGAUGCAAACCGAAGAACCUUACCUGGGUUUGACAUGCAGGUGUUAGUGAAGAGAGAUCGGAACGACUCUGCAGUAAUGUAGGGAGCCUGCACAGGUGCUGCAUGGCUGUCGUCAGCUCGUGUCGUGAGAUGUUGGGUUAAGUCCCGCAACGAGCGCAACCCCUAUUGCCAGUUGCUAACAGGAGAGCUGAGCACUCUGGCGAGACUGCCGCCGACAAGGCGGAGGAAGGUGGGGAUGACGUCAAGUCAUCAUGGCCUUUAUGCCCNNNNNNACACACGUGCUACAAUGGCCGGCACAGACGGCAGCUUAGUGGCGACACUUGGCCAAUCCUCUAAAGCCGGUCCCAGUUCGGAUUGCAGUCUGCAACUCGACUGCAUGAAGUCGGAAUCGCUAGUAAUCGCAGAUCAGCCAAGCUGCGGUGAAUACGUUCCCGGGCCU